This 89-nucleotide transfer RNA is filed under the name Acidimicrobiia bacterium. RNAcentral describes it as "tRNA-Leu". It matches the Rfam family "tRNA". From Rfam's summary of the family: Transfer RNA (tRNA) molecules are approximately 80 nucleotides in length. Their secondary structure includes four short double-helical elements and three loops (D, anti-codon, and T loops). Lineage: Bacteria; Bacillati; Actinomycetota; Acidimicrobiia. The record is from RNAcentral.
GCCCGGGUGGCGAAAUCGGCAGACGCGGCGGACUUAAAAUCCGCUGUCCCUUCGGGGGCGUGGGGGUUCGAGACCCUCCCCGGGCACCA